Molecule: ribosomal RNA, 404 nt
Filed under: uncultured bacterium
Lineage: Bacteria
Description: bacterial SSU rRNA
Rfam family: Bacterial small subunit ribosomal RNA
Source: RNAcentral
UGAGGAAUAUUGCACAAUGGGGGAAACCCUGAUGCAGCCAUGCCGCGUGUGUGAUGAAGGCCCUAGGGUUGUAAAGCACUUUCAAUGGUGAAGAUAAUGACGGUAACCAUAGAAGAAGCCCCGGCUAACUUCGUGCCAGCAGCCGCGGUAAUACGAAGGGGGCUAGCGUUGUUCGGAAUCACUGGGCGUAAAGCGCGUGUAGGCGGCUAAGUAAGUCAGAGGUGAAAGCCCAGGGCUCAACCCUGGAAUUGCCUUUGAAACUACUUAGCUCGAGUAUCGGAGAGGACAGUGGAAUUUCUAAUGUAGGGGUGAAAUCCGUAGAUAUUAGAAGGAACACCAGUGGCGAAGGCGGCUGUCUGGACGAUUACUGACGCUGAGACGCGAAAGCGUGGGGAGCAAACAGG